This is a non-coding RNA of Humulus lupulus (European hop), 83 nucleotides long. NCBI's taxonomy places the organism in Eukaryota, Viridiplantae, Streptophyta, Magnoliopsida, Rosales, Cannabaceae. The record is from the annotation of a RefSeq genome assembly.
GCUGGUUUGCCCGAGAGGUUAAGGGGGUAGACUUAAGAUCUACUGCACGUAAGUGCGCGUGGGUUCGAACCCCACAGCCAGCA